RNAcentral lists this ribosomal RNA (617 nucleotides) under Brevibacillus sp. FDY13. RNAcentral describes it as "bacterial SSU rRNA". The stretch from base 199 to 617 matches the Rfam family "Bacterial small subunit ribosomal RNA", at positions 1 to 738 of the family's 1533-position model. The record is from RNAcentral. Lineage: Bacteria; Bacillati; Bacillota; Bacilli; Caryophanales; Paenibacillaceae.
GAAAGCCACGGCUAACUACGUGCCAGCAGCCGCGGUAAUACGUAGGUGGCAAGCGUUGUCCGGAUUUAUUGGGCGUAAAGCGCGUGCAGGCGGCUAUGUAAGUCUGGUGUUAAAGCCCGGAGCUCAACUCCGGUUCGCAUCGGAAACUGUGUAGCUUGAGUGCAGAAGAGGAAAGCGGUAUUCCACGUGUAGCGGUGAAAUGCGUAGAGAUGUGGAGGAACACCAGUGGCGAAGGCGGCUUUCUGGUCUGUAACUGACGCUGAGGCGCCGCGUGAACGAUGAAGGUCUUUCGGAUUGUAAAGUUCUGUUGUCAGGGAUGAACACGUGCCGUUAGAAUAGGGCGGUACCUUGACGGUACCUGACGAGAAAGCCACGGCUAACUACGUGCCAGCAGCCGCGGUAAUACGUAGGUGGCAACCGUUGUCCGGAUUUAUUUGGCGUAAAGCGCGCGCAGGCGGCUAUGUAAGUCUGGUGUUAAAGCCCGGAGGUCAACUCCGGUUCGCAUCGGAAACUGUGUAGCUUGAGUGCCGAAGAGGAAAGCGGUAUUUCACGUGUAGCGGUGAAAUGCGUAGAGAUUUGGAGGAACACCUGUGGGGAAGGCGGCUUUCUGGUCUGUA